AGCGACAAGUUGGAGGAAGGAGAGGAUGACGUCAAGUCAUCAUGGCCUUUAUGCCUAGGGCACACACGUGCAACAAUGGCCGGUACAGACGGAGGCAAUGCCGAGAGGCGGAGCAAACCCGAGAAAACCGGUCCCAGUUCGGAUUGAGGUCUGCAACUCGACCUCAUGAAGUCGGAAUCGCUAGUAAUCGCAUAUCAGAACGAUGCGGUGAAUACGUUCCCGGGCCUUGUACACACCGCCCGUCACACCACGAAAGUUUGUUGUACCCGAAGUCGGUGCCUUAACCUCGCAAGAGGAGAGAGCCGCCCAAGGUAUGGCCGAUGAUUGGGGUGAAGUCGUAACAAGGUAGCCGUAGGGGAACCUGCGGCUGGAUCACCUCCUUUCUAGGAGAGAAGGGUCCUGGAUGAAGCGCUCCU
Molecule: ribosomal RNA, 416 nt
Filed under: uncultured bacterium
Lineage: Bacteria
Description: bacterial SSU rRNA
Rfam family: Bacterial small subunit ribosomal RNA
Source: RNAcentral